UACGGAGGAUGCAAGCGUUAUCCGGAAUGAUUGGGCGUAAAGCGUCCGCAGGUGGUGGUGUGUGUCUAUUGUCAAAGCGUCAUGCUUAACAUGAUAUAGGCAGUAGAACCUACACAACUAGAGUGCGUUCGGGGCAGAGGGAAUUCCUGGUGUAGCGGUGAAAUGCGUAGAGAUCAGGAAGAACACCGGUGGCGAAAGCGCUCUGCUAGGCCGCAACUGACACUUAGGGACGAAAGCUCGGGGAGCAAAUGGG
RNAcentral lists this ribosomal RNA (253 nucleotides) under uncultured bacterium. RNAcentral's name for it is "partial 16S ribosomal RNA". It matches the Rfam family "Bacterial small subunit ribosomal RNA", at positions 524 to 776 of the family's 1533-position model. The record is from RNAcentral.